This 296-nucleotide ribosomal RNA is filed under the name uncultured bacterium. RNAcentral describes it as "partial 16S ribosomal RNA". It matches the Rfam family "Bacterial small subunit ribosomal RNA", at positions 1065 to 1359 of the family's 1533-position model. The record is from RNAcentral.
UCGUGAGAUGUUGGGUUAAAUCCCCCAACAAGCGCAACCCCUGUCUCAUGUUGUCAGCACGUAAUGGUGGGGACUCUUGAGAGACUGCCGGGGUCAACUCGGAGGAAGGUGGGGAUGACAUCAAAUCAUCAUGCCCCUUAUGUCUAGGGCUUCACACAUGCUACAAUGGCUAGUACAGAGGGCUGCGAUACCGCGAGGUGGAGCGAAUCCCUUAAAGCUGGUCUCAUUUCGGAUUGGGGUCUGCAACUCGACCCCCUGAAGUCGGAGUCGCUAGUAAUCGCAGAUCACCAACGCUG